Salvia hispanica is the source of this 1278-nucleotide non-coding RNA. The record is from RefSeq and is a predicted model, not a curated record. NCBI's taxonomy places the organism in Eukaryota, Viridiplantae, Streptophyta, Magnoliopsida, Lamiales, Lamiaceae.
CACCGCAUAAUAUUAUACCGCAUAUUUUGAGCCACUGAGAAAUUCCAAACAAAAAAACGAAUAGAAUUAAUUAGAGAAUGGAUUUGCUCAACAGAAGCUGCUGCCUUGGGCUAUCUCCUCAUCUUCAAAAGUUGCCUCCUUCCCGAUUCCUGGGUAGAGAUAUACUACAUAUUUGUCCCACCAAAUUACACUAUAGACAUGGAGGUUAUACAAAAGCUUUGGCUGGUCAGAAUAACGUCAAAAAGUUGAGAAAACGACAGAAAAUGCAAAAGGAGAAGCAGGGGGUUUUAGAUGAAACUGAAGGUGUAGAUGAAGAUAAGAUGUCUUCUGAAAUUAAUGAAGCUCAAGCUUCAGUUUUGGUCCCAUCAAGGAGUAGUGUGCUUCAAGCCUGCACUUUCACUUCUCUUUCCAUAGCUGCUUUGGGGGUUUUAAUUAGGCAGGUUUCUCAUUUUGUGUCGGGAGAGGGGUCGCCUGUUCUUGACUGUUCCGAGGAUAUAACUUUUAGUGUCGAGUCAUGGCAUUUCGGGCUGAUUAUAGGAUCAGUAAUCCUGGUAUCAUCAUGUCGUCUCUUGCUACUGAAGAUAUGGCCAGAUUUUGCCGAGUCUAGUAAAGCAGCUAAUCAGCAGGUUCUUACUUCCUUGGAGCCUCUCGAUUACUUGGUCGUAGCAUUUUUACCUGGAAUCAGUGAGGAACUUCUCUUCCGUGGGGCAUUAAUGCCUCUCUUUGGCGUUAACUGGAUGAGUAUCUUCGCGGUUGCAGCACUAUUCGGUGUCCUGCACCUCGGAAGUGGCAGGAAAUAUUCAUUUGCAGUCUGUUGGAUGUUGUUCUUGAAACCUUUGGCAGGGCAACUUUUGUUGGGGUUGUGUACGGUUACACGACAAGUUUGUCGUCAAGUAUCGUUGUGCCUGUGGCGUCUCAUGCCCUGAACAACUUGGUCGGAGGCAUUAGCUGGCGUCUCUCUUCAGACGCGGAUUAGUCUUGCCGUGUUCGAAUCCAUAUCCGUCUCUGCGCGUGCGUUUGUGAUGAAGAGGUUCAGGAUCGCCGGAGAAGAAGAAUGGUGGUAGAGAUAUUGAAGACAUGUGUUGAGUUUUAAGAGCAAGAAGAAGAUAUCAAUGCAUUCACAUAAUUGGAGAAGUGAUAAUGGUAAUACCAGGGAACAUUUUACAUUAUGUUUUUUAGUUUAUCAAGAAUUUAGAAUAACAAAUUAUGCAUCCCUUUAUGGAUAUUCAAGUGAUAACCUUCCAUGCGUAAAUAAAGAAAUUUGGGAUUCGAUCCUCA